GAUGAACGCUGGCGGCGUGCCUAAUACAUGCAAGUCGAGCGAACAGAUGAGGAGCUUGCUCCUCUGACGUUAGCGGCGGACGGGUGAGUAACACGUGGAUAACCUACCUAUAAGACUGGGAUAACUUCGGGAAACCGGAGCUAAUACCGGAUAAUAUAUUGAACCGCAUGGUUCAAUAGUGAAAGACGGUUUUGCUGUCACUUAUAGAUGGAUCCGCGGCGCAUUAGCUAGUUGGUAAGGUAACGGCUUACCAAGGCAACGAUGCGUAGCCGACCUGAGAGGGUGAUCGGCCACACUGGAACUGAGACACGGUCCAGACUCCUACGGGAGGCAGCAGUAGGGAAUCUUCCGCAAUGGGCGAAAGCCUGACGGAGCAACGCCGCGUGAGUGAUGAAGGUCUUCGGAUCGUAAAACUCUGUUAUUAGGGAAGAACAAAUGUGUAAGUAACUAUGCACGUCUUGACGGUACCUAAUCAGAAAGCCACGGCUAACUACGUG
Molecule: ribosomal RNA, 497 nt
Filed under: uncultured bacterium
Lineage: Bacteria
Description: partial 16S ribosomal RNA
Rfam family: Bacterial small subunit ribosomal RNA
Source: RNAcentral